UCGAUUGGGUGAUCUCUCUCCCUCGACUCGUCUCCAUCGAAGCGGCGGUCGCAACCUCUGUUCUCUCCGGUAAGCGUUGUUAAUAACCCCCCUCUCUACAGCUCUAUCUCGCAUGGCAGCCCCUGAAUUGUUCAUCUUCUUUUGCCUCAAUUUUGGUUUAUCUAUUAUUAGUAGUGUUAUCCUUUUCGAUCUUUGAUUCUUCCACAAUUUUAUUGUAUUUUUUUUUCUUUUCUUGUUAAGAAAUAUAAAAGUUGUUGUUGGUUGUGGUUUAUGGGUUUUUCUUCUUUGAUUCAGGUUCUCUAUUUUUUUUCUGUUUUGAUUCUUCCCCGAAGCCGUCCGCCUCUUGCACUUUCUGGUGAGAUUCCGACUAGCCCGAGCCUCUAGUUUGAAGAAGGGCACGGGGAAGAGGUGUGGGUCUGGGCUCGUGGUCUUCCUCGUCUCAGAUGCGGGCUCAAUGGCGAGGAUGGGGAUCUACGUACGUUGUGGGGGCUUUGGGGAACAGCUGGGUUUGAUCUCUCUCUCCCACUUACACUCACGGUAACUCACCUCUCUCCCAUGGUAUCUCUCUGUGUUGUUAUAUGUAAAUAUGAUAUAUAUAUAUGUAUAUAUUGCUGCUGAAAGUAAUAUAGUUGAUAGCAUAAAAAUUAGAGUUCUUGCUAUUACAGGGUCUCUGCAUCAUAUCGACAAAGACCUUCUCGGGUGGUGGUUGUGUGAGCGGCAAGUCAAAUCUGGAGGUCUUAAUGGGCGCCCAGAGACACUUCCAGAUGUCUGCUAUUCAUGGUGGGUCCUUUCUAGCCUGAUCAUGAUUGACAGAGUACAUUGGAUUAACAAGGAAAAACUUGUGAAGUUCAUCUUAGACUGCCAGGAUGUAGAAAAUGGAGGAAUUUCAGAUAACCAGAUGAUGCAGUUGAUGUCUACCACACAUACUUUGGUGUAGCUGGACUUUCACUUCUUGAAUAUCCAGGAUUGAAAGCCAUAGAUCCAGCCUAUGCUUUGCCGGUUGAUGUUGUAAAUAGAAUUUUCUUAGGCAAAUAAUGAUCCUGAAGAACAACUUAUGAUUCUAAUUAUAACUGAACUCAUUGUUUUCUCUUUUAUAGGAAAUAAAGAAAAUAAUAUAUCUUUAUAUUGAAGUAGAAAUAUAUUGUUAAAGGGAUAAUGCUUUGGACAUUGUUUUGAAUCAAAUGCAGUCUCGUGAUCGUGGUCAUUUGAAUAUGCCAGCUGAUGAAAGAGAAAAGAGACACCAGCAUAAUUUCAUGCAUGUAACAACUCAUACAUCUCAAGAAUGGGCUGCAACCUUUGUUAGUGAACUUAAUGAUACUAUUGUGGAAGCUCAACUGAGGACUAGGCAAGUUCCACCUCUACUUCCUAUAAAAGAAGCCGUUGAUCACUAUUUGGAAUCCAAUAAUAGAUGAUUCUUAGUUUAUUUACAUUAAUUUACUAAGGAAUGGAA
Molecule: RNA transcript, 1450 nt
Organism: Humulus lupulus (European hop)
Lineage: Eukaryota; Viridiplantae; Streptophyta; Magnoliopsida; Rosales; Cannabaceae
Gene name: alpha,alpha-trehalose-phosphate synthase [UDP-forming] 1-like
Exons: 5
Source: RefSeq, a predicted model, not a curated record